CCGCCUGCCUGUGACAAUGUUUAACGGCCGCGGUAUUUUGACCGUGCGAAGGUAGCGUAAUCACUUGUCUUUUAAAUGAAGACCUGUAUGAAAGGCAUCACGAGAGUUUAACUGUCUCUAUUUUCUAAUCAAUGAAAUUGAUCUUCUCGUGCAGAAGCGAGAAUAUUACCAUUAGACGAGAAGACCCUAUGGAGCUUCAAACACUUAAAUUAAUUAUGUAAAAUUAUAACCCCCCCAGGGGAAAAAUCAUUCAUAUAAUAUUCCUAAUUUAACUGUUUUUGGUUGGGGUGACCGAGGGGGAAAGAAAAUCCCCCUUAUCGACUGAGUACUAAGUACUUAAAAAUUAGAACGACAGUUCUGAUUAAUAAAACAUUUACCGAAAAAUGACCCAGAUUUUUCUGAUCAAUGAACCAAGUUACCCUAGGGAUAACAGCGCAAUCCUUUCCCAGAGUCCCUAUCGCCGAAAGGGUUUACGACCUCGAUGUUGGAUCAGGACAUCCUAAUGGUGCAACCGCUAUUAAGGGUUCGUUUGUUCAACGAUUAAUAGUCCUACGUGAUCUGAUU
Molecule: ribosomal RNA, 564 nt
Filed under: Centrophorus sp. NBFGR CHN B23
Lineage: Eukaryota; Metazoa; Chordata; Chondrichthyes; Squaliformes; Centrophoridae
Description: partial 16S ribosomal RNA
Rfam family: Bacterial large subunit ribosomal RNA
Source: RNAcentral